This 433-nucleotide ribosomal RNA is filed under the name uncultured bacterium. RNAcentral's name for it is "partial 16S ribosomal RNA". It matches the Rfam family "Bacterial small subunit ribosomal RNA", at positions 29 to 507 of the family's 1533-position model. The record is from RNAcentral.
AACGAACGCUGGCGGCAGGCCUAACACAUGCAAGUCGAGCGCGCCCUUCGGGGUGAGCGGCGGACGGGUGAGUAACGCGUGGGAACGUACCCUUUGCUACGGAAUAGCCUCGGGAAACUGAGAGUAAUACCGUAUACGCCCUUUGGGGGAAAGAUCUAUCGGCAAAGGAUCGGCCCGCGUUGGAUUAGGUAGUUGGUGGGGUAAUGGCCCACCAAGCCGACGAUCCAUAGCUGGUUUGAGAGGAUGAUCAGCCACACUGGGACUGAGACACGGCCCAGACUCCUACGGGAGGCAGCAGUGGGGAAUCUUAGACAAUGGGGGCAACCCUGAUCUAGCCAUGCCGCGUGAGUGAUGAAGGCCUUAGGGUUGUAAAGCUCUUUCAGCUGGGAAGAUAAUGACGGUACCAGCAGAAGAAGCCCCGGCUAACUCCGUG